AUACAUGCAAGUCGAGCGCGUGAAACACACGGAUCCCUUCGGGGUGAUGUGUGUGGAUCGAGCGGCGGACGGGUGAGUAACACGUGGGCAACCUGCCUGUAAGACUGGGAUAACUUCGGGAAACCGGAGCUAAUACCGGAUAGUCUUUUGCACCGCAUGGUGCGAAAGGGAAAGAUGGUUCUGCCAUCACUUACAGAUGGGCCCGCGGCGCAUUAGCUAGUUGGUGAGGUAACGGCUCACCAAGGCAACGAUGCGUAGCCGACCUGAGAGGGUGAUCGGCCACACUGGGACUGAGACACGGCCCAGACUCCUACGGGAGGCAGCAGUAGGGAAUCUUCCACAAUGGACGAAAGUCUGAUGGAGCAACGCCGCGUGAGUGAGGAAGGUUUUCGGAUCGUAAAGCUCUGUUGUUGGAGAUGAACAAGUGCCAUAGGAAAUGAUGGCGCCUUGACGGUAUCCAACCAGAAAGCCCCGGCUAACUACGUGCCAGCAGCCGCGGUAAUACGUAGGGGGCGAGCGUUGUCCGGAAUUAUUGGGCGUAAAGCGCGCGCAGGCGGCUUCUUAAGUCUGAUGUGAAAGCCCGUGGCUCAACCACGGAGGGUCAUUGGAAACUGGGAAGCUUGAGUGCAGAAGAGGAGAGUGGAAUUCCACGUGUAGCGGUGAAAUGCGUAGAUAUGUGGAGGAACACCAGUGGCGAAAGCGGCUCUCUGGUCUGUAACUGACGCUGAGGCGCGAAAGCGUGGGGAGCAAACAGGAUUAGAUACCCUGGUAGUCCACGCCGUAAGCGAUGAGUGCUAGUGUUUAAGGGGGGUCCAACCCCUUAGUGCUGAAGUUAACACAUUAAGCACUCCGCCUGGGGAGUACGACCGCAAGGUUGAAACUCAA
RNAcentral lists this ribosomal RNA (885 nucleotides) under uncultured bacterium. RNAcentral describes it as "bacterial SSU rRNA". It matches the Rfam family "Bacterial small subunit ribosomal RNA", at positions 51 to 904 of the family's 1533-position model. The record is from RNAcentral.